AGAUUGAACGCUGGCGGCGUGCCUAACACAUGCAAGUCGAGCGGUAACAGGUGUAGCAAUACAUGCUGACGAGCGGCGAACGGGUGAGUAAUGCUUUGGAAUCUUCCCAGUAGUGGGGAAUAACCAGUCGAAAGAUUGGCUAAUACCGCAUACGUCUGUAAAAGGGAAAGCGGGGGCUCGUAAGACCUCGCGCUAUUGGAUGAGCCAAAGUCGGAUUAGCUAGUUGGCGGGGUAAUGGCCCACCAAGACGAUGAUCUGUA
This 260-nucleotide ribosomal RNA is filed under the name uncultured bacterium. RNAcentral describes it as "partial small subunit ribosomal RNA". It matches the Rfam family "Bacterial small subunit ribosomal RNA", at positions 26 to 285 of the family's 1533-position model. The record is from RNAcentral.